AAACCCAUCAAGCCUGGCUUGGUAUUGGGCGACGGGACCUCCCCGCGCCCCGAUUUCGCCGGCUGGACGAACCCCGAUCUCAAGCGCUGUAAUGAGCAUUCGCUGGAGGGACGGGCGGCCACGCCGUUAACCUUAAUCAAUUCA
This 144-nucleotide unclassified non-coding RNA is filed under the name uncultured Devriesia. Its description in RNAcentral is "sequence contains ITS2". Lineage: Eukaryota; Fungi; Ascomycota; Dothideomycetes; Mycosphaerellales; Teratosphaeriaceae. The record is from RNAcentral.